UUUAAAGAUGAAUGUUGUUUAACUUAAAGAUGUGAAAAAGAGAGAAAACAAAAAAUAAACAUCUGAAACGAAUCAUGUCUAAGCUCUGUACAACAGACUAGGCAUUAAGGGGUCUCUUUCUCUCUGCGACUAGAAUUACAUCAAAAAUAGUACUACAUGAUUUAUGCUAAACUCUUAUUUAAUAUAGUACUACUUGUAGCUAGCUAGCUAUCAUCAUGUGCCAUAACAAAUAUCAACCCUCCAUCGAAGAUGAAGUCAGAAGAAUCCGGCCAAUCAACACACAUAUAUCAACUGCAAAAAGUAAAAAAGAAAUACGGUUAAACUGUGACACAAACAUAUAGACAACUGUUAUAGCUGUGUUUAACAUAUUUGCACUAACUGAAUGGAAAUUUGGUCAUGAUUUGCAAAGCAUUCACUUGAAAUAAGGUGUGAUCAAUUAUCCAUGAGGUUUAAAAAAGCACAGAUCCUCCAAUAUAAAAAUACUGGACACAUGAUAGCCUAGUCAAUAGAACCAAAAUCACAUAUAUAGAGUUGAAUAUAUUCUUAUAGAACUAAAUUGCCAGAACAUCACUAGAUUAUAAACUAUAGGAUUUAUUAUCCUUAGGGAAAUCAACGUUAAUUUUCUUCAUAUCUUGGCCAAGUAAAGACAUUUUUUCUUUGAUCAUUACAAAUUUCAAAACUCAAACAACUACCAAAUCAAGCAGAGACUACAUACACCCAACUAGGGCUGGGCACGGGACGGGACGGGCCGGGAUUUGAUGAAUCCCGUCCCGUCCCAAAAAUAAAAGAACGGGACGGGACGGGACGAGAAGGUGUUUUUAAAAAUCUGUCCCGUACUUCCCGAUCCCGAUACGGGACCAGGACGGGAUCGGGAUCCCGACAAAUUUUUUUUUUUUUUUUCAAGAUUAAAUUAAUUGAUUAUCAAACACCACCACAGGUGAAAAAACGGGUUGAGAAACUCCAAGCAUUCAAAUGCUCCACCACAAUUGAUCAGUGUAUGAAAUUUUCGACAUUUUUAUGCUGUUUGGAACAACAUUAAUGAAAUUAAUGGAAAAAAAAAAUNUCCAAAAACACAUAAACAAAAAAAAAAGAAAUUGAUGAAAUUAGAAGUACUAAAAUCAACAAGAAGAUAGGUGCAUAGGUGCUAAAUUACAUACCCACUUUAAAAGUACUAAACAUACCCACAUUAAAAAUUAACCCCCAAACAACAACUAAAAAUAUCCAAAAUCACACAAGACAAAAAAAAGAACAUGAAUGAAAUUAAAAGUAUUAUUUUAGACCAAAUUAAGUGUGGUUGAGUGCAUUGUAACACCAUGCAACCUAAAAAAUCAAGUAUAAAAUGAAUAAAAUCAAGUAUUCUAAUAUUACGGGACGGGACGGGAUUUUUCAGGAUAGUCCCGUCCCGUCCCGUCCCGUUAUGGUAAUGUUAAAACGGGACGGGAUGGGACGGGAUUGCUAUUUUCAAAACCUAUCUCGUCCCGUCCCGCUAACUUUCGGGACGGGACCGGUACGGGAUCAGGAUUCCGGUACUAAGUGCCCAGCCCUACACCCAACAUCAGAUUACUCAAAGUAAUAUCACAGUGAAAUCAAGUAACUCCAAAUCAAAAGAACAUUUCUCUUUAUAUGAUCCAACAUACAUCUUUCAAGAGCUCAGAUAAAUCCUCUGUUAAAUGUUGCAUCUAUAAUAUCCUACUCAAAUGAAUUAGACAAGCCUAAUUAAUCACAUAACACACCAAUUGAUCUACCUAGACAAAACAACUUGAAACACCAGUUCAUCAAUUUGGCCGUUGUUCUUCUUCCAACUUUCUCCAAUCAAUACUAUUAGGAUUUAAGAUUAAUUGAGAAAUAAGAAUGAAGAGAAAAAUCAAUACCCAACUUGCUUUUGGGAAAGAAGAGUACCCGACGCCGUUCCUUAACAUAACAUAUCAACUGGAUGACACUACGGCCUUGAGCAGCGACGGAUCAGGCUUCAUCGUCAAGAACCCAUGGUGUUCGCCAAAUCGCAAAGUCAAUAGAGAUUUCUAUGCAUGAUCUCAGAGCAAUCGAGCUCUUAGAGGUUUCUAACAAAAAAACCCAAUCAUAGAGACGGAGGAAAUGACAACGACGAGGAACAAGAGACAAAUCUGAGUAUUUGCGAUGAGAAGAGAACAAAAGAGAGACUGAGAACAAGAGAGGGACCUGAGAGAAGAUAGGGUUUCGUAAGUUUCAUAUAUAAGUAACAGAAGAGUAAAUUAUACAGGGCUUUACUGGCUUGGCUGCUUGGGCCGGGCCGGGCCAAGCCUUCAGGGCUUCAACGGGCAGGGCUUUGGGCCGGGCCAAGGCUUCAAACCCCCCGCCCUAGCCCAGCCCUAUACCCAAAGGGCCGGGCUUGAAUGGGCUUUAAACCGGGUCGAGCCGGGUUUCGGGCCAAUGGGCCACCGGGCCGCCCAUGGGUUUUUUAAGCCCACGGGCCAAAUGAUGACCCCUAUACUAAUGUAUAGAUCAUCUCUGCAAAAUUUCAGCCAAUUUAGUUAUCAUUAAGGCACUCAAACUCGAUUAAACCAAUGGAUGAACAUAAUUCUGUCGAACUUGAACCGUUCAUGUUUAUAACAGAAAAAAUGCAGUUUUGAGUGUCUUAAUGAUAACCAAAUUGGCUGAAAUUUUACAAAGAUGAUCUAUAUAUUAGUAUCUAAAUACUAAAUGGUGGAGAUGUGAAAAUUCGUUUGAAAAGUGAGUGUAAAGUGGAAAUCCGCACUGUAAGAAUAAAUACGGACNNNNN
This 2758-nucleotide long non-coding RNA is filed under the name Fragaria vesca (wild strawberry). Its description in RNAcentral is "long non-coding RNA (FVES_LNC000381)". The record is from RNAcentral. Lineage: Eukaryota; Viridiplantae; Streptophyta; Magnoliopsida; Rosales; Rosaceae.